UCGAGCGCCCCGCAAGGGGAGCGGCAGACGGGUGAGUAACGCGUGGGAAUCUACCCAUCCCUACGGAACAACUCCGGGAAACUGGAGCUAAUACCGUAUACGCCCUUCGGGGGAAAGAUUUAUCGGGGAUGGAUGAGCCCGCGUUGGAUUAGCUAGUUGGUGGGGUAAUGGCCUACCAAGGCGACGAUCCAUAGCUGGUCUGAGAGGAUGAUCAGCCACACUGGGACUGAGACACGGCCCAGACUCCUACGGGAGGCAGCAGUGGGGAAUAUUGGACAAUGGGCGCAAGCCUGAUCCAGCCAUGCCGCGUGAGUGAUGACGGCCCUAGGGUUGUAAAGCUCUUUCGCAGGUGAAGAUAAUGACGGUAACCUGAGAAGAAGCCCCGGCUAACUUCGUGCCAGCAGCCGCGGUAAUACGAAGGGGGCUAGCGUUG
Molecule: ribosomal RNA, 433 nt
Filed under: uncultured bacterium
Lineage: Bacteria
Description: bacterial SSU rRNA
Rfam family: Bacterial small subunit ribosomal RNA
Source: RNAcentral